GAAAGGAGAAAGCAACAUAUUAGACAUUCACGAUAGAGUGCUGUAAAAGCUACACCAGGAGGGGAAAGCCAAAAACGUGCAGAAGCAGGUUCUCUGUCACCCCUAACCAGCCAAAAUAUAAACCACGGCGCGGUGUUGGCUUCACCAGAAACUUGAGAGAAAACUACAAUCCAUUAUCGCUGGAGUAAAUCCACCAAACCACUCUGGAAGCUCUGGAAAGUUCUGAAACUCUCUUAAGAUUAUUGGAAUGAGUUUCGAGUAAAGUGCUUAUUGAGAGAUUAGAUCCAAGAGAGAAAGUUUCACUGAGUUUGAACAUACAUUAAAGUUUAAAAACAACUAACCAUUUAGAUCAUAGCCUAUAAACCAUGCCACCAUCAAACACUCAUAAAUAACAUAACAUUGACAACCACUUGAAACUAGCUAGGAAACCACCUUUGGAAAGGUCAAAACAGAAAAACAAAAGCAUUAACCAACAUGGUAGCAGUCCUGAACACAAUGGCUGAUCACAAAUUCUGACAAAUAACGUGAAAGAAAUCUAUCUGUUUCUUAGUAUGAAAAGUUUCUUUGCUUUGAAUCUUUCUUCAAUGAUUUCCACGAGGAUUGAGUAGGAAAUUCUCAAAAAUUUGUUUAUUUUGCUGGUAUGAGAAACCAUUUAGAGUGUAGAGUUUCAAGCCAAAAGAUAAGGUGCAUGGUGUAUGUAUAUUGGAAAUUGAUUUUUUAUCACUAAGAUUUAGGUGACUUAAAUGUAAAGUGAAAGAUUGUAUUAUACUAUAUGAACCUUAAUUGAAUGAAUGUAUUGAAAGUUGUUUUUGUUUCAACUUCCAAGAGAACUUAUUUAUUAUAGUUGGUGACAAUCUUCACUAUAAAUAGAGAAGAUGUUUAGUGGAGAAACAACACAUGAAGAAAGAGAGUGUGUGAGAAGAGAGAUUGUGAAACAAAAUCAGAAAAGUGUCUUUGUGCGAGUGUUAUCAUUUAUUGUAACCAUUAAGUGAAGUACUCAAGUUUGUAGCGUGAUACACUAUCUGAGAAGGGUUUGUGAUAGUGAAAUACUUUUGAAACGAUUCCGUGGAUGUAGGCAAGAGAUGUCGAAUCACAUUAAAUUUUUGUGUUUGCUAUUAUUUUUCUUACGGUAUAAUCUUUGUUGUGUUCUCACGAUCAUUUUUUUGAUGUAAGUAAUUUUAUUUGAAAGCGUUGAUUACCCAACCUAGAGACUUCUAAACAUUGUUUUAUUGUGGAUGCUGGCUACAGAGACACAGGAAAUCCUUCAAGAGACACAGGGAUUGGAGGGGCAACAUGAUUUUUGCAAUAUUAGGAUGCAGAUGAUUUACAAAGUUUUUGCGAAGGGCCCCUAGAAAGGAUGUUGAACAAUAAGUGGGUCAUGAUUAUAGUUUCUUGAGAAUGGAACAAAUCAAACAUUGCUUGAUUGUUUUUUUAUUUCACAUGUAGGAUCUUAGAGUUUUCAAGCGGUUUGGAAUUUGUUUUUCAUGUUGGUGGAGUUAAUCAGGAUGUUUUUUCGUAACCUUGGUUAUUAAAUAAACCUGACUUGUGAGUCAAACCUCAUAAAUGUAAGGUAUAUCAAAUUGCA
This 1585-nucleotide long non-coding RNA is filed under the name Glycine max (soybean). Its description in RNAcentral is "long non-coding RNA (GMAX_LNC001935)". Lineage: Eukaryota; Viridiplantae; Streptophyta; Magnoliopsida; Fabales; Fabaceae. The record is from RNAcentral.